AGAGGACCUCUUGCUCCCCGCACUUCACCCCAGAGUUACCUCAUCUCUUGCCCCUAGUGGGCGCCCAGGCUGGGAGUGACCCUUCGAGAGGAAGGAGGAGCGGUGAUUCCUGGAACAGCCCGCGAGCCGGGGACUGCAGGACAAUGAACGAGAUCGAUUUCAGUAUUGGCCUAUAAAUCCAAAAUACUGCAGGACAACAUCCACUGCUGGUUUGGUGCUGAGCACUGAGCACGAUGCUAGGGAGACCAGCCCUCAACAUGUUUAGCCUUUACUACUCAUAUCUCCCCCUCCCUCAGGAAAUGCAAACUCCUGGAAGACAGGAUCUAUAUCCCCUACAGCACCCAGCUCAAUGCUCAUCCCCUAAGCAGUGCCCAGUUAACAUCUGUGGGUCAAUGGGCUCACUGUAAUUCAAAGCACUAUGGGUUUGUGUUAGUUAAAAGAUGCUAAUAAAGGGAACUAGGACCACUAAGGGAGAGAACAACCUUCAAGAGAAAGACAAACCUUAACAAAGCCAUUCUUGUCCAACUAUAUCCCAUUCUGUUUCUGGCUUCAGAGUCUUUGCUCCUGAAGUCUCCCCUGCCUAGAGUGGCCAUGGCUUCUCCCACUACACUUGGCUACCUAAUAAUAUAGUGAUCAAUCAGUAAGUAUUUGUUUGAACUAACAAGUGACAAAGUUAAAGGAUUAUGCUCCAUAACUUUGUAUAUCCAUCACUUCACUCGAGACCAGCUACUUAAUUUGUGAGGCCCCUUGUUCAAAAAUUAUUAACAAUUUCAAGACAGCAACAGCGGAGCAUUAAACCAAGUAUGGGUCCUUUCUAAGUAGGGGGCCCUGCUAUAGAUUGAAUGUUUGUGUCCCCAGAAUUCAUAUGUUAAAUAUCUACUGCCCUAGGUGAUGGUAUUAGGACAUAGGGCCUUUGGGAGGUGAUUAGGUCAUGAAGGUAGAGCCCUCAUGAAUGGGGAUCUGUGCCUUAUAAAAAAGGCCCCAGGGAGAUCCUUUGCCCCUUACACCAUGUAAGAACACAGCAAGAAGGCUCUGACUAUAAACCAGGAAGAAAGCUCUCACCAGAACAUGAUGCCUUAAUCUUGGACUUUCCAGCCUCUAGAACUGUGAGAAAUAAAUUUCUGUUGUUUAUAAACUA
Pteropus alecto (black flying fox) is the source of this 1138-nucleotide long non-coding RNA. RefSeq lists it as uncharacterized. The record is from RefSeq and is a predicted model, not a curated record. The transcript has 2 exons. NCBI's taxonomy places the organism in Eukaryota, Metazoa, Chordata, Mammalia, Chiroptera, Pteropodidae.